GUGGGGAAUAUUGCACAAUGGGCGAAAGCCUGAUGCAGCGACGCCGCGUGAGGGAUGACGGCCUUCGGGUUGUAAACCUCUUUCAGUAGGGAAGAAGCGUAAGUGACGGUACCUGCAGAAGAAGCGCCGGCUAACUACGUGCCAGCAGCCGCGGUAAUACGUAGGGCGCAAGCGUUGUCCGGAAUUAUUGGGCGUAAAGAGCUCGUAGGUGGUUUGUCGCGUCUGGUGUGAAAACUUACCGCUUAACGGUGAGCUUGCAUUGGGUACGGGCAGACUAGAGGGCGGUAGGGGAGACUGGAAUUCCUGGUGUAGCGGUGGAAUGCGCAGAUAUCAGGAGGAACACCGAUGGCGAAGGCAGGUCUCUGGGCCGCAACUGACGCUGAGGAGCGAAAGCAUGGGGAGCGAACAGGAUUAGAUACCCCGGUAGUCC
RNAcentral lists this ribosomal RNA (430 nucleotides) under uncultured bacterium. Its description in RNAcentral is "partial 16S ribosomal RNA". It matches the Rfam family "Bacterial small subunit ribosomal RNA", at positions 354 to 796 of the family's 1533-position model. The record is from RNAcentral.